GGCAGCACGGGAGCAAUCCUGGUGGCGAGUGGCGAACGGGUGAGUAAUGUAUCGGAACGUACCUUUCAGUGGGGGAUAACGUAGCGAAAGUUACGCUAAUACCGCAUAUUCUGUGAGCAGGAAAGCAGGGGAUCUUAGGACCUUGCGCUGAUUGAGCGGCCGAUAUCAGAUUAGCUAGUUGGUGAGGUAAAGGCCCACCAAGGCGACGAUCUGUAGCUGGUCUGAGAGGACGACCAGCCACACUGGGACUGAGACACGGCCCAGACUCCUACGGGAGGCAGCAGUGGGGAAUUUUGGACAAUGGGCGCAAGCCUGAUCCAGCAAUGCCGCGUGCAGGAAGAAGGCCUUCGGGUUGUAAACUGCUUUUGUACGGAACGAAACGGUUCGGGUUAAUACCCUGGGCUAAUGACGGUACCGUAAGAAUAAGCACCGGCUAACUACGUGCCAGCAGCCGCGG
RNAcentral lists this ribosomal RNA (457 nucleotides) under uncultured beta proteobacterium. RNAcentral describes it as "bacterial SSU rRNA". It matches the Rfam family "Bacterial small subunit ribosomal RNA", at positions 68 to 520 of the family's 1533-position model. Lineage: Bacteria; Pseudomonadati; Pseudomonadota; Betaproteobacteria. The record is from RNAcentral.